GCGCGAAACCUUUUCAAUGCACGCAAGUGUGAGAAGGGAAUUCCAAGUGCUCAAGUUUUACUUGGGCUUUUGCCAAGUGUAAAAAGCUUGGCGAAUAAGGGGUGGGUAAGACUGGUGCCAGCCGCCGCGGUAACACCAGCGCCUCGAGUGGGGAUCGCGAUUAUUGGGUCUAAAGCGUCCGUAGCAGGCCUUGUAAAUGCUUUGUGAAAUUGUCUGGCUUAACCAGACAGCGUGCAGAGUAGACUGCAGGGCUCGAGACCGGGAGAGGUUAGCAGUAUUCCUAGGGUACCGGUAAAAUGGGUUAAUCCUAGGAGGAUUACCAAUGGCGAAGGCAGCUGACCAGAACGGUUCUGACUGUGAGGGACGAAAGCUAGGGGAGCAAAACGGAUUAGAUACCCAUGUAGUCCCUGAGCGGGCUGGCAAGGCGCAU
RNAcentral lists this ribosomal RNA (430 nucleotides) under uncultured bacterium. RNAcentral describes it as "bacterial SSU rRNA". It matches the Rfam family "Archaeal small subunit ribosomal RNA", at positions 339 to 776 of the family's 1478-position model. The record is from RNAcentral.